UAUUUUGUGCUCGGACUGAAUAAACGUACGGGGUGUCUGGGACCAGAUUCUCCACUAGGAGGGAGCGAUAAUGGCCGUUUGGGAUUCGAACAACGACAGGGGGCUGGCCGGGUGUUUCUUCUGUGAUGUCAUAAUAAGGUGUUUUGAACCCGAUGACCUCCGUCGAAACUUGUUGUCCGUCCUCCCCCAUCGCUGAUACAACUACCACGUACGCUGACUCAGGGGUCAAGUCGUCUAUCGCGAUCGAGUGGUCACUAGAGGGCAAGGUGUGACGGUGAGGCUCGGCGUUUGCUCCAACGCGGUUGUACGCCACCUAAUGGAAG
This is a non-coding RNA of Ciona intestinalis (vase tunicate), 323 nucleotides long. The record is from RefSeq and is a predicted model, not a curated record. NCBI's taxonomy places the organism in Eukaryota, Metazoa, Chordata, Ascidiacea, Phlebobranchia, Cionidae.